CUACGGGGGGCAGCAGUAGGGAAUCUUCGGCAAUGGACGGAAGUCUGACCGAGCAACGCCGCGUGAGUGAAGAAGGUUUUCGGAUCGUAAAGCUCUGUUGUAAGAGAAGAACGAGUGUGAGAGUGGAAAGUUCACACUGUGACGGUAUCUUACCAGAAAGGGACGGCUAACUACGUGCCAGCAGCCGCGGUAAUACGUAGGUCCCGAGCGUUGUCCGGAUUUAUUGGGCGUAAAGCGAGCGCAGGCGGUUAGAUAAGUCUGAAGUUAAAGGCUGUGGCUUAACCAUAGUACGCUUUGGAAACUGUUUAACUUGAGUGCAGAAGGGGAGAGUGGAAUUCCAUGUGUAGCGGUGAAAUGCGUAGAUAUAUGGAGGAACACCGGUGGCGAAAGCGGCUCUCUGGUCUGUAACUGACGCUGAGGCUCGAAAGCGUGAGGAGCAAACAGGAUUAGAUACCCCAGUAGUC
Molecule: ribosomal RNA, 464 nt
Filed under: uncultured bacterium
Lineage: Bacteria
Description: partial 16S ribosomal RNA
Rfam family: Bacterial small subunit ribosomal RNA
Source: RNAcentral